RNAcentral lists this long non-coding RNA (12592 nucleotides) under Setaria viridis. Its description in RNAcentral is "long non-coding RNA (SVIR_LNC003163)". The record is from RNAcentral. Lineage: Eukaryota; Viridiplantae; Streptophyta; Magnoliopsida; Poales; Poaceae.
UUGCGUGAGGAGCGCGGUCGUCCUUCCCUCCACCAGGCCUGCGGCGCAUUUAUGGCGAGGCCGACGUGGGGACCCACAGGAUCUUGUCUGUCUCACCCAUCUGGACCGUAUCCGAGGGGGAUGCCUGCUCCGGGGGCCCCAGCGCGCCCGACCCCUUUGCUUGGGGUCGGACGAGGCGGAACUUCGUGACGGGGGUCAGGCGCCCCCGACCCCGGGGCCGCAGUCGGGCGAGGCGGAAACUUUGGAGAGGGGGGUCGGCCGUUCCCGAUCCCCACGCCGUGGUCGGGUGAGGUAGAGCUUUGAUCAUGUCUAGGUGGGCCCGGGCCUUCGUAUCUGUUUCCUUAAGUGGCAUAUUUAGGGGAUCGUUAAUAUUUCCCCCCAACAGUAGCCCCCGAGCCUGUGGUGGAGCAGAAGUGCUCCUCCGGAGGCUUCUUUCACUGUUUCGCCGCGGGCUUUGUGUUAUGGCGCGCUUGUUUUAUUUCAGCCUGGCUGGGGAACCUGCAAAUUGUGACCACACGCGUGGUAGUUGGUUGCGAAACUGGCCCCCGAGCUCCUGCUCGUUGCUGGAAACCGAUCGGGAGGCUAGGUCGACUUUUUGAUCGUUGUCCCUCAAGCAUCCGUUCACUAGGACGGAGGGUUUGAGCCGGGCCACGUUAUCCGCGUUGGACGAACCGUGGUGCUCGUUUGAGCUGCAAACGGGUAGGUUCGAGUGGAGUCCCGGUCCCCGUUCGGGGGGGUCCGGCUCGGGCCAAGCUGGUGGCGCACUCCAAUUUCCCACCGGCCAGUUCAUAUAGUUCCCGGAUCCGUUCGACCGGAUCUGGGGGCUCGUUGCCUUUCCCCGUGGAAAAACCAUGAAUUUUAUACCGGGCGGGACUCGAACGUGAGGUUGGGGCGCCCUUGGCUUUCGCUUGCCUGGGUAUUGGCCGCUAGCAGACCCGUCCCUUCUCACCCCUCACUCGGGGGACGUCCUGAGGCAGCUGUCGAACCUGUGUUGGGCCAGCUUUCGAACCUCUGGACCGUAAUGGGCCGUAGGGGCGUUUUCAGCCCCGUAUCCCUUUCUUACCUCCCUGCGGGCCUUGGGCCGGAGUGGAGCGGUCGUUGCGCCUGGGCCGAACGUGGGGGGCGUCGUGGGCGCGCUACCCGGGAAGUGGAGUUAUGGGGAGCGUCGUCCCGCGAAUCGAGGAGGAUAGGAUGUUUUCGCGGCCGAUCGUGCGCGUGGUUUUCGAAAAGGAAAUGGGCGUGGCAGGGGCGUACCUGGCGCUACAUUUAUGGCGGCCGGGGCGUCGAUUUGGCUUCCCCGGUACCUUUCUUAUAAAAGCAGGAGCUCACCGCGCCGGUUCCGCUUUCCUUCCGCAUUCGAGCCUUCUUGCCUUCCAGCCUCACGCUCAGUUCAUCCGCGCUCGCCUCGUUUCCUUCGCUCCAAGCCGCGCGCUCUUCUUCCCGUCACCGUCGAUCUCCUCCCUCCUCUGGCGAUGGGUUCCUGGGGGGGUUCUCAUUUCACCUCCUCGCGCACUGAGGGCCUGGUGCGGAAGGGUCUCCUCUGCGAGAGGACGGCGGCGGGCGAGUGGGAGCUGCCGGGGACGGAGCAAGUUCCGUCGCCUCCCCCCGGCUACGUCGUCUCCUUCGCUCACUUCCAUGAGUGGGGGUUCGCUUCCCCCCCGAGCCGCUUCUUGCGCGGGCUCCUCCACCAUUAUGGGCUCGAGCUCCAGCACCUCAACCCCAACGGGAUCCAGCACAUUGCGGCGUUCGUCGCGUUGUGCAAAGGAUUGCUGGGCAUCGAGCCCCACUUCUCGCUGUGGAAAUAUUUUUUCACAGUGAGCUUGUACCAGAAGUCAGGAAAAGCCGGGAGCCAGCAGCGGUCGCCUCCAGUGCUGAUUGGGUGCGCCGGGAUCCAUCUCCAUCAUACUCGCUCCAAGGAGUACAUGACGGUGAAGACCUCGGUGUCCCACAAGGGGUGGCACAACCAGUGGUUCUACGUGAAGAGCUACCCGGACUCCCCUUUGCCGGCUUUCACCGGUCGCACCAUCGACGCGGCGCUAGAGGUAUGGGCGUACGGGCCGGUGGAGAAGGAGAAGAAGCGGUUCUCCGACCUGCUGCAGGGCAUCGAGCAGCUGAAGAGGAAUGGGCUCACCGGCGCCGGGGUCUUCGGAGCAUACCACGCCCGGCGGGUGGCGCCGCUGAUGCUCCAGGUCCGGCCGCUUGGCGCCAUGACCCCUGACGCGCUGACCGAGGGCACCGCCUUGGCGACAGGCGCACUUGCCGCCUCCGAGAUCCGGCAACGGCUUCGGGAGGCGCUGGAGGACAGGGACGUCGAGUACCCGGUUCCCGGGCACCCGCCGAUGCGCUCGGAGGCGGGCUUCAUAGACCUGGUAAUGAAUUGGGGCGUCGUCUUCCUUUCUCUGUGCCCCGCUAUUUGUUGCCCUGACGCGGAGCUGCUUUGCGUUUGCAGGGCUUACUAACCCGGGUUGCGGACUCCCUUUUGCCGGUGCCGGAAGAUGGUGAACGGAGAGCUCGCAAUCGUCUCCAAGCCGAGGCGCAGAAGCACCGCAAGGACAAGGAGACGGCGAGGAAGCGGAAGAAGGCCGCCAAGGAGCUCCAGCGGCGGCGGAGGGGGUCGGUUGUGUCCGACGACGACGACGACGAUGAAGAUGAAGAGGAUGAAGAUGAGGAAGAUGAUGAGGAGGAAGAGCUGGUUCCCCCCCGAUCGGGGGCCUUGGUGAUUCGUGAGGCGCCCCCACAGACGGCCGCGGGAGGUGAAGCGGGGGAGGCGUCCACCCGGGCUUCGGCUCCUCCAGGCCCUGGGGCCGUGCCUCAGGGGCCAGCACAGCGCGUGCCCCAAGAGCUGGCGCGGGCCGCCCCCCAGGGGUCAGCGCAGGACAUCCCCAGGAGCAGGUGCAGGACGCCUCCCAGGGGUCGGCGCAAGGCGUCCCCCAGGAUCGGGCGCGGGACGCUGCCCCGGGUCGGCAAGGGGUGCCCCCCUGGUGUUGACACGGGGCGCCCCUUAGGGGUCUUCGGAGCGUGCCCCCGCCGCGGCUUUGGGUCCGGCGCGGGGCGCUCCCCAGGAGUCCAUUCGGGGCGCUUCUCGGGGGUCCGUGGAGCCCGCCUCCACCGCCGUGCCCGCUGCCGGAGAGCAGCGAAGCGACGACAAGCGGCCGUUGCCGGGUGCCCCGGGGUCGGCGUCCGGCUCCGAGUCGAAGCGUGCACGCCGCCCUUGCACUUCGAGGAUGUAAGUUGGCCUUCCCUGGGUGUCGUUCCUCUCCUCUUUUUUCGUUCGUUUCAGCUGACGUCUGGCCGUUGAUGUGCAGCACUACUCCCCGUGGCCUCAGCCUGCAGCUGGCGCCCAAGAAGGCGCUGCGGUUGUCGGCCUCCUCCGGGGGGCGGGCCGCAGCCCCGCCUGCGGCAAGCGGUGGGGUUCCUGGUGCGGUCGCGGAUCCCCCCACGGAGGUGGCCCCUGUGACGGCGGCUGGCGGAGCGACAGCGGUGUCAGCCGCGGGAGGGGGAGCGGACUCUACUCCGCCUUCGGUUCCUCCGGUCGCCCCUUCAGCUCAGGGCUCGAUCCUCUCGAGCUCUCAGGUCGGGGAGGUGAUCGACCUCUACGCCGACGAGGCAGAGGAGGCGGCGGCGACGGGAGGUAGGGUGGAUGCCCCCGCAGCCGUGGCGGGAUCAGAGGCGGAGGGAGCGCCUGCUCCCGGAGGCACGGCGGCGGCUGAGGCAGUGGUGACGGAGGCAGGGGCCUCCACCCCGAUCGCCCCCGCGGGAGUGGCUCCGGCGGCUGAGGUGGAGGUGCCCACUGGGAUACCGUUGGCGGCCUUGGCGGCGACGAGCGUGCAGGUGCCGGGGCCGUCGGUAGAUCCGGCGGCCUCUAGUGCCAUGGUGCCGACCUCGACGGCAGCGUUAGGGUCGGCCCCUGUCUCAGCCUCGGCUUCCUCCGUUCCCAGGGCGUGGAGAGGGUCCGUCCUCCGCUGGUCAUCCCGCGAUGACCCGCCGAGGCAUCUCUUCGCGCUGGACGCCGCCGCCGAGUGGCACAAGUGGCAGGCGGUGCAGGGCGGCAUUACCCAGGUCCAGGCGGCUCUGUCCUCGGUGCUGGGAGUUCUGGGCAACACCGUCCUCCUCGGCAGCCAGGUAUGUUGCUCCUACUGUUGGUGAUGAGUACCUCCCUUCUGCCUUUUGCCUUAACGGCGUGUUGCUUUGCAGGCUCUCCAAGAGGGCAGUCGGGGGAAAUCCGAUUUCCUCCGACGGCAGCAGGGUCUCUGGGAUUGCUUCAAUACCGAAAGGGAGCGCACCAGGGACCUGUCCUUGCAACUCGGCGCCACCCAGGGGGUCAUUCGCGACCUGCAAGGGCGUGAGCAGGCGGCGUCGGAGGAGGCGCAGCGUGCGGGGGCCAGGCUCCAAGCCGUCACCGAGAAGGCCCGCCUCGACCUCGAGGAGUUCCAGGCUGUCGCCGAAAGGGCCCGCCGUGAUGCCGAGGGGCUUCAAGCUGCUGCUGAGAGGGCCCGCCGCGACGCCGAGGAGCUUGCGCAGCUGAGGGGGAUGCGUGACACCCUCCGCACGGAGACUGGCCAACUUCGCUCGCAGGUGCAGGGACUUCAAUCCGCCGUGUCCCGAGGGGCCGAACGGGAGCGUGAGUUGAAGACCCAGGCUGAUGGUGAGGUUUCUUCCGUUCCCGCAUUCCCGUGUUGUUUAUGUUCUAUUCUUUGACUUGGUGGGAUUUUCUAGGUGGUUUCUGCAGGUGAAAUCGCCAAGUUGCGGGGUCUGCUCGACGAGGAGCGCGUUGAGCACAGCGCCCUGCGAGAUGUGGCCCGUGUCGUCUGCGACGACUUUGGCGUAGCUCCGGAGGAGGGGUCGAGCUCUCUGCUGGCUCGUGUCCUCAGGGUACGCCGUCGCCGUCGCGAGAUCGCCGUGGACGCGCUUCACCUUGGCGUGCGGCGAGCCUUCGGGGUCUUCGGCUCUCACUAUUCUGGCAUCAACUUUGCCGGGAUGAGUGAAGGGUACGCCGCGGGCUACACCGAAGCUGAGCUGGACGAGAUCGAUGCCACGGUGACCGCGCCGGCGGAGGCCCUCGCGAAGCUCCUGGAGGAUGAGGCCGCCCCUCUUGCCGACCCCUCGUCAAGUUAGCUGUGCCGGGCUUGCGCCCCAAAAAAGUUUGUAAUUAUGUCAGUCUUUGAACUCGUUUUGCGUUGGCCAUACGGGCCUGUUCUAUGACUUUUGUUGUGUGAAAAAACCCGAUUCCCUUUGUUGUUUCUUUGGGCUCGAAAGCUUAGAAUGCAUUGCCGGGUGCGUCAGUAAGUUUUGAUGAGCGAAGGUGCCGUAGCCGCUGGGGCGUAGGUUUUUUCGCGGUCCGAUCAAAACUUGCCUGAGCACCGUUCGCGCAUCCUUCUCUUUUUGCGUCCAAAGGUCUAGAAAGGGAGUGUUCGGUUUGAAAAAGAAAAAACGUUUUCUUUUUAGAUGGCGCCAGGCGGCUGGGGUCGGGACCCCUGAUAGCCCCCGAGGGGUAUGCGGUCCUGGAGCAAGGACAGGGUCGGAUACCCCUGAGCUUAAAGGAAAAGGCUUGAGCCGAGGUGGCUCGGGGUUUCUUUUUUUUGCAGAAGAACAAAACUGGUAGCCCCCGAGGGGUAUGCGGCCCUGGAAUGAGGCCAGGGUCGGAUGCCCCUGAGCUUAAAUGAAAGAACGAAAAUGACGGCAAGUUUAUGCGGAACUUGGAAAUAAGAGCUAUGGGUAAAAGCGCCUUAGCUGUUCUAUGUUCCAGGCGUUGCUGAAGAUCUGCCCGUCGGGAGUUGCCAGCUUGUAGGUGCCUGGUCGUAGUACUUGUACGAUGAUGAAUGGGCCUUCCCAUGGCGGAGUCAACUUGUGCCGACCCCUGUUGUCUUGGACGAGGCGGAGCACUAAAUCACCAACGUUGAAGGCGCGGCCUUGUAUCUUGCGGCUGUGGUAACGCCGUAGGGCCUGCUGGUAUUUAGCCGAGUGUAGUAGGGCUACAUCUCGCGCCUCGUCGAGUUGAUCUUGUGCGUCCUCGAGUGAUGCCUGGUUUCCCUGUUCGUCGUAUGCCUUGACCCUCGGCGACCCGUACUCUAGGUCGGUGGGUAAAAUGGCCUCUGACCCAUAGAUCAUGAAGAAUGGGGUGAACCCUAUCGCCCGGCUGGGGGUCAUCCUCAAGCUCCAGAGGACUGCUGGAAGCUCCACAACCCACCGUCCGCCGAACUUUUUAAGGCGGUCGAAGAUCCAUGGCUUGAGACCCUGGAGUAUCAUGCCGUUGGCUCGCUCGACUUGCCCAUUCGUGCGGGGGUGCGCCACUGCCGCCCAAUCCACUCGAAUGUGGUGGUCGUUGCAGAACUGGAGAAAUCUCUUCCCGGUGAACUGCGUGCCGUUGUCGGUGAUGAUGGAAUUUGGGAUCCCGAAGCAGUGGAUGAUGUCGGUGAAGAACUGUACCGCCUGCUCGGACCUGAUUUGCGCCACUGGUCUCGCUUCGAUCCAUUUGGAGAACUUGUCGACAGCGACGAGCAGAUGGGUGAAGCCCACGGACACCCUUUUGAAGGGUCCGACGAGAUCCAGCCCCCAGACCGCAAAUGGCCAUGUGAUGGGGAUGGUUUGCAAUGCCUGCGCGGGCAGGUGAGUUUGGCGGGCAAAGAACUGGCAUCCUUCACAGGUGCGGACUACCUGGGUAGCAUCCGCGACCGCGGUUGGCCAGUAAAAACCUUGUCGGAAGGCGUUGCCAACAAGUGUCCUUGGCGCGGCGUGGUGACCACAAGCCCCGGCGUGGAUAUCCUGGAUCAGCGCCUUUCCCUGCUCGAUCGGGAUGCAGCGCUGGAGGAUCCCAGUGUGACUUCUCUUGUAGAGCUCCUGGUCGAUGAUGGUGAAGGAUUUUGCACGGCGCGCGAUCCUGCGGGCUUCUAUUUUGUCUGCCGGGAGCGUGCCGCGGACAAGGUAGUCGAGGUACGGGGCUCUCCAGUCGAUUGGGGGGUCGGCCCCCGCCGCGGGGUCUGCCGUGAUUUCCAUGACCACGGGGUCGGAUGGCUUGGCUUCCAGGGCCGAGUUGGGUAAGGCAGCGUUGAUUCCCUCGGGACUGGUGCUCGGGUCCGGGACAGGUGGUGCGUUGGCAACCUCCCCUGGCUUGGGUCCCGACCCCAGGGCUGGGAAUGCUUCGCCGACCCCUGCCGGCUCCAGAUAAUGAAUUGAAGGCUUCAACUGGUCGCUAACGAAAACGCCGUCGGGGACGGGCAUCCGGCCGGACGCCGCCUUCGCCAGCUCGUCAGCGGCUUCGUUGAAGCGCCUUGCGACGUGGUUGAGCUCCAACCCGUCGAACUUGUCCUCGAGCUUACGGACCUCAUUGCAGUAGGCUGCCAUUUUGGGGUCGUGGCAGCUCCACUCCUUCAUGACUUGUUCGACGACCAACUGAGAAUCGCCCCGGACGUCUAGCCGACGGAUACCCAGCUCGAUGGUGAUGCGGAGCCCGUUGAGUAGGGCUUCGUACUCGGCGACAUUAUUGGAUGCAGGGAAAUGGAGGCAGAUCAUGUACCUGAUGCGCACGCCCAAUGGAGAGACGAAGACGAGGCCUGCUCCGGCGCGGGCCCUCAUCAGUGACCCGUCGAAGUACAUCGUCCAGUACUCCUGCUCCUCUGGCGCCGACGGUGCUUGUACCUCCAUCCACUUGGCCACGAAGUUGGCAAGUACCUGGGACUUGAUGGCGGUGCGGGGGACGUAGGUGAUACCCUGGUCCAUAAGCUCAAGCGCCCACUUCGCGAUCCUUCCUGUAGCAUUUGGGUUCCGGAUUACUUCACCAAGCGGGAAUGAUGAAACGACCGUUACCGGGUGGGAGGUGAAGUAGUGACGCAGCUUCCUCUUCGUGAUAAGGAUGGCGUAGACGAGCUUCUGGAUCUGUGGAUAUCGUGUCUUGGACUCGGAAAAGACUUCGCUGAUGAAGUACACCGGGCGUUGUACCUUAAGAGCGUGCCCCUCCUCCUCCCACUCCACCACUAGGGCCGUGCUGACCACCUGGGUGGUCGCCGCGACGUAGAGCAGGAGGGACUCGCCAUCGGCCGUUAGGAGGUCCUUGAGUCGGUCAAGUGCCUCCUGGGCCUCACUGGUCCAUUCGAAGCGGUCAGAUGAAGGAGGUAGCGAGUUGGUCGGCCUCUUUCAUCGCGAUCUAGUGGUAGCCGGAAUAUGCGUUGAGGAAGCUGAGGGUCUCGCACCCGGCGGUCGAGUCGACUAUUUGAUCUAUGCGUGGCAAAGGAAACGGAUCCUUUGGACACGCUUUGUUGAGACUGGUAUAAUCGACACACAUCCUCCAUUUCCCGUUCUUUUUUGGUACAAGGACGGGAUUGACCAGCCAUUCGGGGUGGCGCACUUCCUUGAUGAACCCGGCCGCCAGGAGCUUCUGGAGUUCUUCACCAAUGGCCCUGCGCCUUUCCUCGUCGAAACGGCGCAAGCUUUGCUUCACUGGUUUGGAGCCAGCCCUGAUGUUCAAGGAAUGCUCGGCGACUUCUCUCGGGAUGCCAGGCAUGUCCGAGGGCUUCCACGCGAAGACGUCGCUGUUCGCGCGGAGGAAGUCGACGAGCGCGCUUUCCUAUUUGGGGGAUAGAGCCGCGUUGAUCCGCACAACCCCACCAUCGGAACAGCCGGGAUCGAGAGGGACUUCUUUGAUACCUUCGGUGGGCUCAAAGGAGGUAUUCGACUGCUUGGCGUCAGGUUGAUCUUCGGUCACCUCCGCAAGCUGGACUGCCAUGCCGCUCGUGACGGUGAUGGCCGCGGCGUACUCGCAACACUCUACGUCGCACUCAUAUGCCUUCUGGAAGGUCGUGCCGAUGGUGAUGACCCCGUUGGGUCCAGGCAGCUUGAGCUUGAGGUAGGUGUAGUUGGGGAUUGCCAUGAACUUCGCGUAGCACGGCCGUCCUAGGAUGGCGUGGUAGGUUCUGCGAAACCCUACCACCUCGAAGGUAAGGACCUCCUUCCUAUAGUUGGAAGGGGUCCCAAAUGUAACGGGCAGGUCGAUUUGCCCGAGGGGCGUCGCCUGCUUCCCUGGCACGACGCCAUGGAAGGGUGCCUUGCUGGGACGGAGGCGGGAGCGAUCGAUCCCCAUAGCGUCGAGAGUCUCGGCGUAGAAGAGGUUGAGGCCGCUGCCCCCAUCCAUGAGCACCUUGGUGAGGCGCGUCGUGCCGACGAUGGGGUCGACGACGAGAGGGUAACGCCCCGGAUGUCGGACGCGUCUAGGGUGGUCGGACCUAUCGAACAUGAUGGCCGGCCCGGACCAGUCGAGGAAGGCCGGAGUCGCAGGCUCGGCCGCGUAGACCUCCCGGCGCUCCAGCUUUUGCUGGCGCUUGGUGUCGUACGCUGCGGAGCCGCCGAAGAUCAUGAAGCAGCCGUCGACUUUAGGGAAGCCGUCUUCCUUCUCUUCGUCGCCCUUCUUUUCCUCAUCGGGCUUCCGCUUCCGGUCGCCUUUCACCGGAUUGCCCACGAAGUACCUCUUCAUGAGGUUACAGUCUUUGUAGGCGUGCUUGACGGGGAACUCGUGGUUCGGGCACGGUCCCUCGAGCAACUUGUCGAAGAAGCCGGGAGCGCCUACGGGGGGCGGCUGCCCCCGCUUGCGCUCGACCGCGGCCAUGAGGGGGGCCUCACGCCGCUGCUUGCCCUUCUUCUUCUGCUGGCGGUUGGAAGUGCCUUCGUCGGCGUCCUCCUCUCGUUUCACCUUGCCUUUGGAACGAUCGAAGAUCGCUCCGACAGCCUCUUCGCCAGAGGUGUAGCUAGUGGCAAUAUUGAGGAGCUCUUCUGUGGUUCGCGGGCCUUGGCGCCCCAGCUCGUGGACGAGGGGCUGGCAAGAGGUCCCUACUAGGAAAGCUCCUAUGACGUCGGCGUCCGCGACGUUGGAGAGCUCGGUGCGCUUUCUGGAGAAGCGCUGGAUGUAAUCCCGGAGGGACUCGUCCGCCCCCUGACGACAGCUCUGAAGAUCCCAGGAGUUGCCGGGGCGCAUGUACGUCCCUUGGAAGUUUCCUAUGAAAACCUCUUUCAGGUCGUUCUAGUUGCGAACGCGUCCCGAAGGGAUAUGUUCCAGCCAAGCUCGCGUGGAGUCUGCCGGGAAAAGGGGUAGGUUGCGGAUGAUAAACAGGUCAUCAUCCGCCCCGCCGGCUUGACAUGCAAGCUGGUAAUCGCUGAGCCAUACUCCAGGAUUUGUCUCCCCUGAGUAUUUGGCUACACUCGUGGGUUGCCUGAAGCGCGGCGGAAAGGGCGCACUUAGGAUGCGCGCAGAGAAGGCCCGAGGCCCAGCCAUUCCUGGGCUCGGGCUGCGGUCUUCCCCGCUGUCGUAGCGCCCGCCACGAUGGAUGUGGUAGCCUCGAUCUGCCCCGUCCUCCCUGUCCGCACGGGAGCGUCUCCACGCGUUCAGGGUGUCGCGUGCGUCGCGGGCGAGACCGACACGCUGGUGGACGGAUCGAGCCUCGCCUCCCGCGGGUGGCGGGGUCCGUCGGGCGGACGCGGUCUGAUUUGGCCCCAGAGGGGGUUGCUGGACAGAUUCCCCCCGCCGUUCUGGGGGCGCGUUAGGUGUGGCCUGGCUGGCGUUCUGCUCGCGUCGCCGGGACGCCGAACUUUCCGCCUGCUGGACGGCAGAGCACUCGAGCAGGUUGCGCAUCUCUUGGCAUGCCCGUCGCUCCUCGGGCGUCGCUGGUUCGGGUAGCUGUCGGAGCAACACCGCCGCGGCUGCGACGUUUUGGCUAGCGCGGGCAAAGAGCGGCAGACGCUCUCCGUCCGCGCAGAUGCGUUGCUGGACAUCGCGUGCCCGUUGUCGCGCUCCCCCUUCGUGGUGGGGGUGCUCUACUUCUUGGCGGGCACCCACGUAUGCUUCUGGUUGCCGAGAGCCCUCCGGGGCCCUUGGUAAGGCUCCAGUUGUAGCUGCGGCGCGCGAGGGGGGAACCCGUUGUCUCCCUCGGCACCAUCGCCGUUGGACCCCUCGGAGUGCGCGUCGACCACAAGGCACUCGCGCGAGGGGUGGGGACUCCCGCUGCUGGAGCCAGCGUCAGAGAUUGUCCUCGUCGCGCCUACGAGCUUGUCGCUCGCGGGCGACGCGGUCAUGGGCCGCGCUAAGAGGCGUCCGUAAGCCCCCGUGGCGUUACGUAGCCCAAAGGGCUGUCCUCUCGGUGAGGUCCUUCGAGUGGGCGAGCGACCGCUCGCCGCCGUCCCGGAGGCAGGGCCGGGGGCAGCUGGGUGAACCGGUAGGACGAGGACAGGGAUCAGCUCGAUCCCUUCCCCGGUGGUGAGGAAGUCUAGGCUCCCGAAUUGGAUCAGGGAGCCCGGAGCAAAGCUACCGUUGUAAUUGGCCAUCUGAGGCUGGGAAUGUACGCUCAAAGGUCCCCUACCUGGCACGCCAACUAUCGUUGUCAAGAUCGGCGGAUCAAGACUUAGACUAGUAAAUUUCUUUUAUGCGCGUAAAGCCUCAGGUGGUUGCGUGGGAGACACGGGUUUAGACUGUUUCGGGCAAGGGAAGCCCUACGUCCAGUAUCGGAGGUGUUCGCGUUGCCCACGUGGGGUUCUGUAGUAGGGGGUUACAGAUCGACGAGAGAGGGACUGGUCCCAAGUCUCUUUAGUGUUUUUGCUUCUCAGGAAGAGUCAUUGUGUGCUAUGGCUUGCGGGAGAAGAAGCCGAUCCCCCCUCCGGCCCUGGGUUCCGCCUUUUAUAUCGCAAGGGAGGUGGCCGGAGUUACAGUUGGGAUCGGGUAGAGAGGACUGUAAAGAGUAAAGCGUAGAAUGGUAAAAAAUACGGCAGGAAGGAGGAGCAAGAUCCUAGGCGUCCGACGCCUCUGCUGGCCCUGGGCGAACGCCGGCGCGCAUGCCAGAGGGGGAGGCCGCCGUAUGCCAAGUGUUGUUGCACCCUACAGGUAGCUCCUUCGAUACCCGUAGGCAUCGGGUCAUGAUGAGGGCGUUCCGUCGUUAUCCUGGUGUCUGUAGGGGAGGACGGUGGAUGCUGUUGUUCAGAUGAUGGCUCCUGGAGAGAGGGUGUCACAUCCUUGCAGUGCGGGACCCGAGGGCACGCGGGGCCCGAGGACAGGCCGGUCUCUCCUUCGCUCCGGCCGGCGCAGGCCAUGAGUACCCUGCGGCGAAUGGGAGUCAGCCGCAGGCACUGUAGCUUGUACUGUGUGGUUGUGCACGGGUACUUGUGACGGGUUGCGUGAGGAGCGCGGUCGUCCUUCCCUCCGCCAGGCCUGCGGCGCAUUUAUGGCGAGGCCGACGGGGGUCCCACAGGAUCUUGUCUGUCUCACCCAUCUGGACCGUAUCUGAGGGGGAUGCCUGCUCCGGGGGCCCCAGCGCGCCCGACCCCUUUGCUUGGGGUCGGACGAGGCGGAACUUCGUGACGGGGGGUCGGGCGCCCCCGACCCCGGGGCCGCAGUCGGGCGAGGUGGAAACUUUGGAGAGGGGGGUCGGCCGUUCCCGAUCCCCGCGCCGUGGUCGGGCGGGGUGGAGCUUUGAUCAUGUCUAGGUGGGCCCGGGCCUUUGUAUCUGUUUCCUUAAGUGGCAUAUUUAGGGGAUCGUUAAUAUUUCCCCCCAACAGAUGGGGAUAAAAUUAUGAUCUGACCCUUAAACUUAAGGACUAAUCGUGCCGGGGUCCUCAGACU